Molecule: ribosomal RNA, 253 nt
Filed under: uncultured bacterium
Lineage: Bacteria
Description: partial 16S ribosomal RNA
Rfam family: Bacterial small subunit ribosomal RNA
Source: RNAcentral
UACGUAGGCAGCAAGCGUUGUUCGGAGUUACUGGGCGUAAAGAGCGCGCAGGCGGUCGAUCAAGUCGCGUGUGAAAGCCCCCGGCUCAACUGGGGAGGGUCACGCGAUACUGAUCGACUCGAAGGCAGGAGAGGGUAGUGGAAUUCCCGGUGUAGUGGUGAAAUGCGUAGAUAUCGGGAGGAACACCAGUGGCGAAGGCGACUACCUGGCCUGUUCUUGACGCUGAGGCGCGAAAGCUAGGGGAGCAAACGGG